AUGUUCAUUUUAUACAACAAAAUUGUAUCAUUAAGGAAAGCACAUAAUGAUAGUAAACACCAAACAAAUGAAGAAGCAGAUGUUUUAUAUGUUGAUCGCGAAAAUAACAUAAAUGAAAAUAAACCUGAAAAAGAAUAUGACAAAGUAAAUGAUGAUAUAUUUUUAUUAUUUUCAGAAAAUGGACAUAUGGGAGAAAAUAAUAAGUUAAAUAAAAAAGAAAAAUUCAAUAGAACAUAUUUAGAUAAAAAGAAACUGACUUUAGAAUGUAAUAAAGUAUCUAAUUGGGUUCAACAAAAUGACCUAUGGACAGACAUUGACACAAAUUGGAAACAGUUUGGUGAUGAUGUUGUUGGAGAUACACCAAUUAUGCAGUAUAAUUUGGAUGUCGUUAAGGAAAAUAAAGAGAAUAAAAAAAGUGGUAUAAAUGUAAAAAUGAAUGACAAAAUUAAUGAAAAAAGUAAUGAAAAAAGUGAUAAAUAUAUAGUUGAAAAAAGUGAUAAAUAUAUAGNNNNNNNNNNUGAAAAAAGUGAUAAAUAUAUAGUUGAAAAAAGUGAUAAAUAUAUAGAUGACCUGAAGAGUGAUUUAACGGCUUCAAUUGAUGACGCAAAUUCUGAUGUGUACAAUAAAGGAUAUAAAAAUAAAAUAAUGAAAUAUAAUUUUAUUUAUAAUUCAAAGGAUAUUAAUAAUAUUGAAUUUUAUGAACAGAAAAAACAUACAUUUAUAAAUAAAAAUGUAAAUUAUUUAGAUGAAUUAAUAGAAGAUAGUAAACAUAAAUUAGCAACUGAAAAUAUUUUAAUACCUGAAAAUAAUAAAUUGCAAAAUGUAGAACUGAUUGUUAAAAAUGAACAAGUUACAGUAGUGUAUGAAAAAAGUAAUGAUGGUGUAUUAGAAAAAAAAAAAAAAAAAAAUGAACUAAAAGGGGGAGAAGUAGAAGAAGGUAAAGAUGGAGGAGAAGGAGAAGAAUGUAAAGGAGAAGAUGUAGAAGAAGGUAAAGAAGGAGAAGUAGAAGAAUGUAAAGGAGGGAAAGUUGAAGAAGUAGAAGAAUGUAAAGAAGGGAAAGUUGAAGAAGUAGAAGAAUGUAAAGAAGGAGGAGUAGAAUCAUUUGAAUAUACAUUGUGGGAUAAAAAUUGUAUGGAAAAGGAUAAAGCACAUUGUAAGGAAAGUUUUUUUGAAAUUACUGAAUCAUUGAAAGAGUAUAAAAGUUUACAUACCAAUAAUAAUAAUAAUAAUAAUAAUAAUAAUAAUAAUAAUAAUAAUAANNNNNNNNNNAUAAUAAUAAUAAUAAUAAUAAUAAUAAUAAUAAUAAUAAUAAUAAUGAUAAUGGAGUUUGUAAUGUGUUUGAAAUGCGUGAUGUUAAUGAUGACAUGUUUAAAGAACAUAAAGUGGUAAAUAAAAAAGAAAUUAUAAACUUUUUUCAAAACGAUGAUGAAUUUAAAGUUGUUGAAGUAAAAAGUAAAGACGAACAUAACAAUUUUGAAAGUGUUAUUAUUGUAGAAGAGUAUGAAAACAAAAAAGAUGAAACACAUAAUAUUAUUAACAGUGAUUACUUUAAAAAUUUUGAAUUAAAAAGUAACGAAAUGGAUGUAUCAUAUGAAAACAUAAAUAAUAGUGAAAACAUCGGAAGUGUUAGUAAUAAUGAUAAUAAUAACACAGGUAAUAAUAAUA
RNAcentral lists this long non-coding RNA (1665 nucleotides) under Piliocolobus tephrosceles (Ugandan red Colobus). RNAcentral's name for it is "lncRNA (ENSPTEG00000007199.1)". Lineage: Eukaryota; Metazoa; Chordata; Mammalia; Primates; Cercopithecidae. The record is from RNAcentral.